Molecule: ribosomal RNA, 134 nt
Filed under: Aponogeton hexatepalus
Lineage: Eukaryota; Viridiplantae; Streptophyta; Magnoliopsida; Alismatales; Aponogetonaceae
Description: partial 5.8S ribosomal RNA
Rfam family: 5.8S ribosomal RNA
About the family: 5.8S ribosomal RNA (5.8S rRNA) is a component of the large subunit of the eukaryotic ribosome. It is transcribed by RNA polymerase I as part of the 45S precursor that also contains 18S and 28S rRNA.
Source: RNAcentral
GCAUCGAUGAAGAACGCAGCAAAAUGCGAUACUUGGUGUGAAUUGCAGAAUCCCGUGAACCAUCGAGUCUUUGAACGCAAGUUGCGCCCGGAGCCUUCGGGCCGAGGGCACGCCUGCCUGGGCGUCACGCCUAG